UACGAAGGGGGCUAGCGUUGCUCGGCAUCACUGGGCGUAAAGCGCACGUAGGCGGAUUGUUAAGUCAGGGGUGAAAUCCUGGAGCUCAACUCCAGAACUGCCUUUGAUACUGGGGAUCUCGAGUCCGGGAGAGGUGAGUGGAACUGCGAGUGUAGAGGUGAAAUUCGUAGAUAUUCGCAAGAACACCAGUGGCGAAGGCGGCUCACUGGCCCGGAACUGACGCUGAGGUGCGAAAGCGUGGGGAGCAAACAGG
Molecule: ribosomal RNA, 253 nt
Filed under: uncultured bacterium
Lineage: Bacteria
Description: partial 16S ribosomal RNA
Rfam family: Bacterial small subunit ribosomal RNA
Source: RNAcentral